CUCACUGUUCCCUUCUCUGUUCUUUUGCAUCUUUCAGACCAGGAUGAAAGAGCAGCAGAACUCAGCAGGGAGCAGAAUGAG
RNAcentral lists this microRNA precursor (81 nucleotides) under Alligator mississippiensis (American alligator). Its description in RNAcentral is "microRNA ami-mir-9607 precursor". The record is from miRBase by way of RNAcentral. Lineage: Eukaryota; Metazoa; Chordata; Crocodylia; Alligatoridae.